Long non-coding RNA from Xenopus laevis (African clawed frog), 220 nucleotides. RefSeq lists it as uncharacterized. The record is from RefSeq and is a predicted model, not a curated record. Lineage: Eukaryota; Metazoa; Chordata; Amphibia; Anura; Pipidae. The transcript has 3 exons.
CUUUUGCAGUGUGACAUCUGGUCGCUGGGGAUAACCGCCAUCGAAAUGGCUGAGGGAGAACCACCAUACACAGGGAAAUAUCCAGUUGAGGACCUGAUAAUUGAAGCCCAACCACCGAAGCUUCAAUCAAACACCUGGUCACAGCAUUUUGUGUCCUUCUUGGAGUCCUGUCUGAAAAAGGAUCCUUCGGAGAGAGGGAGUGCUCAAGAACUCCUGCAGC